UUUGGGACAUUCUGUUCAGUCCUCUUUUCCCAGGCAGCCCCACGCCACUCCGAGUCCUGGAUGGAGGGUGGUCACUCCCAGGGGUGGGUCAGGAUGAGUCUGUGACCUGUGAGGCCUGUGCAUCCCAGCCCUCCCAGCAAGCAGGGAGAGAGGAGUGAGGCCCAGCUGGCUGCAGGCAGUGAGCCGAAGAACCCAAGAGGCCUCUGCUGCUCUUAUACCCUCGCAUUUUGCCAUAGCUGAAUUUUAAAUCUCAGCGUCAGACUAUCGAUGUUCACUCAGAGGACGGUAGCAGAAUCAUUAACUCUUACUACAAAGCCAAGCGCAGAAGGGGGUGUUGAUUCCUUCAAAAAGUGGCUUCCAGAUCAAGAGGAUGGAUGAGCACAUAAACCUUGAGACUAAGCAAAGUUUCAGAACAAAAUACACAUUUUGGACGCCCUGGCAAUGAAAAAGCAAAAGUCUAUAGAAAACACUAAGAGGAAGAAGAUGGAAGGAUUGCUGAAGAGAUGGCAGGGCAUUCACGUGCUCACUUUAAGAAGGCAGUCAGGGGAUAUUUCCCAUAGUUGAUCAGAUAAGAGAUUAUAAAAAUGGUAAAAACAACUAUACAGGAUGAAAAUCCAUGGUAUAAAUAUAUUAGGAGGAGAGAGAAAAAGGAAUUUAAAAUUCUCUGGUGAACUUAGUUGUCUCUCACUGCAGGAGGCCAGUAGGUAAUGCCUUUCAUUUUUAAACUCCUUUAGUUUUAUUUUUGGAUAAUGUCUAACUUUGAAAACUAAAAACAUAACCAAUUAAGGUGUUACGAUAACUAUUUUGCGCCAAAAAUUAAUCUUUCUGUCGGCAGGUGUCAAGCUAGGGAAGAGUUUGGUAGAUAUGCUUGCGUUUUACUACAGACUAUUGAUAUUACUUGAACU
This is a non-coding RNA of Heterocephalus glaber (naked mole-rat), 905 nucleotides long. Lineage: Eukaryota; Metazoa; Chordata; Mammalia; Rodentia; Bathyergidae. The record is from RefSeq and is a predicted model, not a curated record.